CGGUCCCCAGAUGCGAGCACUGCCAAACAGCCAAAAGGAGGGGUCCUGCCUGCCGAGGCCCAUCUGCUGGAGCUGAUCCAAGGCCAAGGCUGGUGAUGGCUGAGGCCCUGAGACCCUAAGACCCCAGCAUCUGCACAGGGCAGUCAUCGUGGGUUAUCCCCAGGCACCUGGCCUCCACCAUGUGAGGAGCAGGGAAUUAGGGAAAAAAAACUAAAAGUCCAGGAAUUUAUGCAAAAGAAGUUGCAUCGCCCAAGAGAGAUAGCUUGGAAGGAAGUACUGCAAUACCAGCAAUGAAUGACUAAAAUCGCCCCCCGCUAUGUGGAAGGUGGGAGCCCUCAGAGAGAUUAUGCUGGUGACAGAGAACAACGAAGCUCCCCCAGUGCCUAAGGCCACCCUUGACCUGUUCUUCACGUGUCCAGCCUACUCUCCCAGCUCUGCUCAGAUCUUCCAGCACAAAGCCCUGGACAAGUGUAAACCCAGCAAGACCUGCCUCUCAGGCUGCCCAGAGACCAGGAGUGCACCUGCUGUGCUAGGAGAUGACACAAGGUGACUGUGAGGCUGCCACUCUCGUGGUGUUUGCUGUCUUAGGUGACGGAGGCUGCAUAUGCUCCACCCUGGGGACGCAGGAGCCUGCAAGAGCCCCGUGCCUGUGCUGCAGGCAUCCUGGGACGGCGCUGCAUCAGGGACGUUUUGCGCCUCCUUCCGGCCCCCUCUUUCCCUUUUCUCAUUCCCACCUCCUUCUCCCAGCUCAGAGGUGUGUGAGUCUCAGCCACUCCCCAAAGCAAAACCCUCAUAGUUAGCCAGGGACCCAGGCAGGGGUCUGGCAAGGCCCCCUCCCACCUCUCAGACUCUUCUGUCUCCAGAGGCAGAACGUGCACGUGGGCAUCACAUUGACUUUGGGGACUUGCCUUCACCCCAGGGCGCUCCAGUCUGGUGGAUGCUGACUCUGACCACACCUGGGAACCAGUCUACACCUGGGUCUCAGCUCGUAGUGACAGUCCCUGCCAGCCCCGAGAUUUCCAGGGGCAGCACCGCCCCUGAGGUACAUGGACCCCACCGCCGUCCACACAGCGCACACCCACACGUGUAUCCGAAUCUGCGAGCAGCAUAUGUGCUGUGGGUACAGGUGCUGCAACCUUAGCUGACGGAUUAUGAAACUGAGCCUGCAGAUCUGAGCCCGUUGUCCGAGAUCCGUGCUCUCAUUUCCUAAUCCACUUCCAAAAGCCAUUUUCCCAUACUAAGGGCAAGACUUUCAGCCAGACACUAGGAGGAUUUGAAGAGAAAGAAGCUACAGUCUUUGUCUUUUAAAGGAAUCCAAUCUUGAAGCCCGAAUGAGGCAUACGCAGAGGAACGCAGGCUACGAGACAAAAUGCGAUAAUGCACAACCACCAGCUAGAAGACACAAUGGAAGCCAAGGCCCCGUUUACGACAGCAACAAAAGAGAUAAAAUACCUAUGAAUAAAUUUAACAAGAAAUGGGCGAGACCUGUGUGAGGACAACUUCACAACAUUCAUGAAAAAAACAAAAAUGGAAAUUCACAUGGUCAGGAAAAGUUAGUAUGACAGUGAUGUCUAUUCUUCCAAGUUAAUUUGCAAAUUGAAUGCAAUCGCCAUCAAAAUACUAAUGUGUUGCUUUCUCUGGGAUUAGUCAAGGGAUUUUAACUUCAAAUGGAAAAAUGAUUCAAAAAUAGGAGAAAUGAGGGGAAGGAGGGAGUGGCUAGCUCUAGCAGAUAUUAGUAAUCCAUGACUAAUCAGCUGUGAUCCUGGAGUACAGUCAUGGCAGACAGGACGGAGGCACAGGUAGGAAGUCCAGAAACAGCUGAGUCAGGUAAGUCCUUGCUGGGAGUGUGGCCAGGACGCGGUGGGACAGGAUGGCCAAGAAAAGGCACAGCCCUGGGGACAGCCCCACCUCGUAGCCUGUGUGUGCGCACGUGUGUGCAUGGGAGGACACGUGUGCAUGUGUGUGAGGACACGUGGGAGUGUGCAUGUGUGUGCAUGAGGACGUGUGUGCAUGUGUGUGGACACGUGUGUGCAUGUGUGUGAGGACACAUGUGAGUGUCUGAGGACACGUGUGUGCAUGUGUCUGAGGACACUUCUGUAUGUGUAGGCAUGUAUGUGAGGACACAUGUGAGUAAGGACACGUGAGUGAGUGUGUGAGAGGACACGUGUGUGAAUGUGUGAGGACACGUGUGUGUGCAUGUGUGAGGACACGUGUGUACUUGUGUGAGGACACGUGUGUGCAUGCAUGUGCGUGUGUGUAAGGACGUGUGAGUGCAUUUGUGAGAGGACACGUGUGUGCAUGUGUGAGAGGACAUGUGUGUGCGUGCAGGUGCGUGUAAGGACACAUGUGAGUGUGUGUGUGAGAGGACACGUGUGUGCAUGUGUGUGAGGACAUAUAUGUACAUGUGUGCUAUGACGUGUGUGCAUGUGGAUGCGUGUGAGGACACUUGUGAGUGUGCAUGUGUGUCCACAUGUGUGGGGACAUGUGCAUGCCAGUGUGUGCCUGUGUGCACAUGCAUGUACAUAUGUGCACGCACACGUGUGUCCCAGGCUGCCCCAAGGCUCAGACAAGCUUCCCCCACAGGAGCUGCCAUUUUCCUCCAGAAACAGGAUUUCCUCCCAAAACCCCAGGAAUUACCGACCCCCAACCCAGCAGGAGACUCCGACAAAACGGCGCCUUCCCCCGCCCUUCCCACCUGCCGCCCCAGACCUCAAAGCAGAGGCACCUCCCACCCCCACACUCUGCACUCC
RNAcentral lists this long non-coding RNA (2750 nucleotides) under Homo sapiens (human). RNAcentral's name for it is "HSALNT0279150". The record is from RNAcentral. Lineage: Eukaryota; Metazoa; Chordata; Mammalia; Primates; Hominidae.